GACGAACGCUGGCGGCGUGCCUAAUACAUGCAAGUUGAGCGCUGAAGGUUGGUACUUGUACCAACUGGAUGAGCAGCGAACGGGUGAGUAACGCGUGGGGAAUCUGCCUUUGAGCGGGGGACAACAUUUGGAAACGAAUGCUAAUACCGCAUAAAAACUUUAAACACAAGUUUUAAGUUUGAAAGAUGCAAUUGCAUCACUCAAAGAUGAUCCCGCGUUGUAUUAGCUAGUUGGUGAGGUAAAGGCUCACCAAGGCGAUGAUACGUAGCCGACCUGAGAGGGUGAUCGGCCACAUUGGGACUGAGACACGGCCCAAACUCCUACGGGAGGCAGCAGGAGGGAAUCUUCGGCAAUGGACGAAAGUCUGACCGAGCAACGCCGCGGGAGUGAAGAAGGUUUUCGGAUCGUAAAACUCUGUUGGUAGAGAAGAACGUUGGUGAGAGUGGAAAGCUCAUCAAGUGACGGUAACUACCCAGAAAGGGACGGCUAACUACGUG
This 497-nucleotide ribosomal RNA is filed under the name uncultured bacterium. RNAcentral's name for it is "partial 16S ribosomal RNA". It matches the Rfam family "Bacterial small subunit ribosomal RNA", at positions 28 to 507 of the family's 1533-position model. The record is from RNAcentral.